AAGUAUCUUCUCGGAAGGGAGGCCAGUCCAGCUCCGGUCCCCCAAAGGGCCGUGCAGCGGACGAACCGCCUGACCGAAAACCCAACAAACCCCCGUGCACUUUCCGACGGUGGAGGGAGACUGGGCGAGAGCUCGGGAUCCCGAAACCGUCGACUCACAAACACCUUUAAAGAAUGAUAUAGCGGCCCUUGCGUCGCCUAACUUAACGAAA
This 211-nucleotide unclassified non-coding RNA is filed under the name uncultured fungus. RNAcentral describes it as "sequence contains ITS1, 5.8S rRNA gene". The record is from RNAcentral. Lineage: Eukaryota; Fungi.